This 253-nucleotide ribosomal RNA is filed under the name uncultured bacterium. RNAcentral describes it as "partial 16S ribosomal RNA". It matches the Rfam family "Bacterial small subunit ribosomal RNA", at positions 524 to 776 of the family's 1533-position model. The record is from RNAcentral.
AACGUAGGUGGCAAGCGUUAUCCGGAAUUACUGGGCGUAAAGGGUGUGCAGGCGGGAGGGGAAGUGGGGUAUGAAAUAUCCCAGCUUAACUGGGAGGGGUUAUGCCAGACUGCCUUUCUAGAGGACGAGAGAGGGGGGUGGAAUUCCGGGUGUAGUGGUGAAAUGCGUAGAUAUCGGGAAGAACACCCGUGGCGAAGGCGGCUCUCUGGGACGGUACUGACGCUGAGACGCGAAAGCGUGGGGAGCGAACAGG